CCACAUGCACAAUUCUGGAGUGUUGCUGACAAGAAGAGGAAUUCCGCCAGCUUCGCGGAUUCUCGCUACAACGUCGGCGUCCUUUGUCGCCCUCGAAGGAACAUCUUUUACCCCCACAGAAUGACUCAUCCCUAGACAGACAAGCGUAUUGGAUUAUUACGUACCACGAAAAACAAUUUUGAAAUGCAAGAUCCAAACCGAGCGAGUAAUAUCCAACUACGUCCGUCACAGUCUAUGACUAUUUAUGACUGAUACGUCUGAAAGGAAGCAACUGGCAUCACACGGGUUUGAAGAAGCAAUAAGUGGGGCGAGCAAAGUGUUGAAGUGCGUGUCGACGGCAAUUUUCUUUUUAUCAUUUUCGACGCGUGUUUCUUACAAAUUUGGACAUUGUGAAUAUUCGUUGUUCAUUAAGCUUCUGUGAUGACAGUCAUGUGUAAUUUUUUUGAAGAUUAUAAUAUUUGAAUAUUUACGUCAUAAUUUUUUUCUAAAAUUGAUAAUUUUAAUAAUUAUAAUAUUUAAAGAAUAUUUAUGUAAAAAAUUGAUGUAUAUCCAACAUCUUACUCAUUGUCAGUACUUCAUCCAUGCUUUAAACAACUGAUAUCUUGAAAGCUUAAAUAUUACAAAAGCAGACUUUGCUUUCUGCGGACAUGAUAUGUGUUUCCGUCGACUUAACAAUUGAGAUACCGUAAUAUUUAGAGAAGAGAAAUUUUGUAUGAAAUGAAAAGUAGCACAUGAAUUCAAAAUGCUCGAAAAUCAACGAUAACAAAAAAAGAAGAAA
Long non-coding RNA from Monomorium pharaonis (pharaoh ant), 778 nucleotides. RefSeq lists it as uncharacterized. The transcript has 2 exons. The record is from RefSeq and is a predicted model, not a curated record. Lineage: Eukaryota; Metazoa; Arthropoda; Insecta; Hymenoptera; Formicidae.